GUUCGAGUUGUAAUUUGAAGAAGGUAACUUUGGAAUUGGCUCUUGUCUAUGUUCCUUGGAACAGGACGUCACAGAGGGUGAGAAUCCCGUGCGAUGAGAUGUCCAAUUCUAUGUAAAGUGCUUUCGAAGAGUCGAGUUGUUUGGGAAUGCAGCUCUAAGUGGGUGGUAAAUUCCAUCUAAAGCUAAAUAUUGGCGAGAGACCGAUAGCGAACAAGUACAGUGAUGGAAAGAUGAAAAGAACUUUGAAAAGAGAGUGAAAAAGUACGUGAAAUUGUUGAAAGGGAAGGGCUUGAGAUCAGACUUGGUAUUUUGUGUUCCUUAUCCUUCUUGGAUUAGGUUCCUCACAGCUCACCGGGCCAGCAUCGGUAUGGAUGGCAGGAUAAUGACUUUGGAAUGUAGCUUUGCUUCAGUGAAGUGUUAUAGACUUUGUUGAUACUGCCUAUC
RNAcentral lists this ribosomal RNA (444 nucleotides) under [Candida] sp. Its description in RNAcentral is "Candida sp. (in: Saccharomycetales) partial large subunit ribosomal RNA". It matches the Rfam family "Eukaryotic large subunit ribosomal RNA", at positions 136 to 583 of the family's 3401-position model. The record is from RNAcentral. Lineage: Eukaryota; Fungi; Ascomycota; Saccharomycetes; Saccharomycetales.